CCUACGGGUGGCAGCAGUGAGGAAUAUUGGUCAAUGGUCGGGAGACUGAACCAGCCAAGCCGCGUGAGGGAUGAAGGUACAGAGUAUCGUAAACUUCUUUUGUCAGGGAACAAAGGCGGGGACGUGUCCCCGGAUGAGUGUACCUGAAGAAAAAGCAUCGGCUAACUCCGUGCCAGCAGCCGCGGUAAUACGGAGGAUGCGAGCGUUAUCCGGAUGUAUUGGGUGAAAGGGGUGCGCAGGCGGUCUGUAAAGUAAGCGGUCAAAGCCCGGGGUGAAACCCCGGCCCGCCGUUGAAACUGGCAGUCUCGAGUUGGAGAGAAGUAUGCGGAAGGCGCGGUGUAGCGGUGAAAUGCAUAGAUAUCGCGCAGAACUCCGAUUGCGAAGGCGGCAUGCCGGCUCCACACUGACGCUGAGGCGCGAAAGCGUGGGUAUCGAACAGGAUUAGAUACCCCAGUAGUC
This 459-nucleotide ribosomal RNA is filed under the name uncultured bacterium. RNAcentral's name for it is "partial 16S ribosomal RNA". It matches the Rfam family "Bacterial small subunit ribosomal RNA", at positions 338 to 795 of the family's 1533-position model. The record is from RNAcentral.